Aegilops tauschii subsp. strangulata is the source of this 1350-nucleotide long non-coding RNA. RefSeq lists it as uncharacterized. The record is from RefSeq and is a predicted model, not a curated record. NCBI's taxonomy places the organism in Eukaryota, Viridiplantae, Streptophyta, Magnoliopsida, Poales, Poaceae.
UUCUCUCGCACUCACACAUCACACACCUCACAGUCUCACCAUUCCUAAAAAAAUUCAGUCUCACCGCUCAAUAAAAAAAUGAGUCUCACACGGUGCUCUUGCCUGAUCCCCUUUUCAUCUUGUUCUAUCCCCUCUGUACAAAUUUUGUUCCACCCGAGGCUGCGGAUUUAAUUCCGAACACCACCUCAGUUUCCCCUCUUGAUUCCUUGCCGUGACCUUGCUCUUACACACCUGCACGCACGGGGUGGCCAUCUCGUGUGCCUAAUUUGGCUCCCUGUACGCCUCCUCGAUCUGCUAAGCCGAACGGCGAUGGAGGGUUAGCAGGGCUCGAUGAGAAGCUGCACAAUGGAGGAGGCGAGCUUGUCGAUCUUGAAGUGCCGCGGUCGACGGCGUCCUUGGAGGCGACGUGGGCGUUGAUUUCGUCUCGCACAUCCAACUUGAAUCCACCUCAAUUGUGAGGAUGCUGGCGGCGUGUCUUCCAUCGCAUCGUGGCCGUCCCGGAGCGAGGCGCCCCGGCACGUCAUCUUCAUCCUACUUCGGCGGCUCAUUAUUCACCUGCAGGUUUUUCCGAUGCAGCUUGGCCUACUUCCUGUAGCAUAGACUGUAUCUCCGUCCAAGCUGCGUUCAACAUGAAUGUCACAAAUAGGGGAAUAAUAAUGGAUACUGCAUAGCCGUGAAUUAUGAAUGGUUCUUUGAUAUUCUUCUCGGCCUUAUCUCUUUGUACUGAACAAUGAUAUCACAUCCUUUUCUAUUCCCUAUUGUAUCAUUCAUAAUCAAGCCUGCAACUUUGGUUGCCAUUCUGAGUGUUUUUGCUAGUCUAUUAUCUCUAUCCAACAUAUUUUUAAGGCCCUCGACAGUACGACGAUUGGUUGACUCCCUUUUGUAUUCUGAUGCUGACGCGUUAAUCCUAUUUUUACCUCAUUUGUAGGGUCAUAGGUGCAUAACUGCGCUGUGCGUGUUUUAUCUUUACCUUCAGAUGGUACUUACUGGAGGCUCGCUCGAUCGAUGGCGCAAUUGAGGAUAUUAGGGGAACUUGCUUGCGAGAGUUCCUUUUCUUCUUUGAGGGAAAGCCAUCAUGGUGGUGUAUAUUAAUUUGGAGUAACUGUAAUAGCAACAUUAUGAUGGGUACAAGUCUAACCUAUCAUGAGUUUGUCUAUGGAAUCAUGAGAUUGAUUCUGAGAUUGGUGUAAAGAAUAUGUGAUAGGCCGUAAGAUUGAUUGUGAGAUUAGUGUAUAUGGUAUUGGAAACAAAAACAAAAGAGAAUACAUGCAAAUGAACAGUGUAGGGUUGGAUUGUAUGGGAGAAGCGAUUAACAUACCUAUCUUGGCUUGGGCCGUUGCUCAUGCUGUA